RNAcentral lists this long non-coding RNA (233 nucleotides) under Phaseolus vulgaris (common bean). Its description in RNAcentral is "long non-coding RNA (PVUL_LNC004103)". Lineage: Eukaryota; Viridiplantae; Streptophyta; Magnoliopsida; Fabales; Fabaceae. The record is from RNAcentral.
CUACUCAAGUCCCCUAUACACCCAAGAGACUUAAAUCAACUCUUCGUUUGUAUAGUAGUUUAAUGUUUCUUCCUUCUUCAUAUUACUCAAUGUAGGACUUUGGUAAAUAUCCACAUGAGAAAAACACAUUCAACCAUUGUUCACCUUAUGUUGUGUGGAGUCAACCUUUGUUUCUUGAAUAAUUUUUAUAAUCUAAUGUACCUGAUCCUAUGUAAAAUGACUUGUUUUAUAUU